Molecule: long non-coding RNA, 1288 nt
Filed under: Sus scrofa (pig)
Lineage: Eukaryota; Metazoa; Chordata; Mammalia; Artiodactyla; Suidae
Description: lncRNA (ENSSSCG00025051312.1)
Source: RNAcentral
CCCUCAGACUUCUCUUUUCCCAGGUGGGCCAGUUCUUGGCCUCGCGGGCUUACGUCAUGGGAGGAAUGCGGUGACGCGACGCUGCUCUUGUGACGUCGACGACGAAGGCCGGGCUCCCGGUUCGAUGAUGUCAUCGGGUCCUUUUUCCUCCCCCUGCUGCCCUGCGAUGAAGUUCUCAAGCCACAGCAGGGACAAUGCCAAAUCCUUGACCUUCUGAGCCAUGAGGGAACUUCCACAAGAGCUUUGAAAAGGUGAGAUCUCCAGCAUUUGUUGUUAUGUGGAGUGGGGGGGUGGGUGGAGGGAGGAAGGUGCAGAAGAACAUAUGAAACAUGCUACCUUGAACUGAAGUUCUGACACAUGCUACCACAGGGAUGAACCUUGAAACAUUAUGCCAAAUGCAAGAAGCUGGACCUAAAAGGGUAAAUAGUGUCUUGUUCUGCUUUACAACCUAUGUAGAAUAAGCACAUUCAUAGAGACAAAAAGUAGAAUGAUGGUUACCAGGAACUGGAGGGUGGAGUGGAGGAAUGGAGAAUUAUUGUUUAAUUAGGUAGAGUUUCAGUUUGGAGAGAUGAAAAAUUUCUGGAGAUGGCUAGUGGUGAUGGUUGCAUGACAAUAUGGAUGUCUUAAUGCCACUGAACUGUGCACUUAAAAAUGGUUAGGAUGUGGAGUUCCUUGUUGCCACAGUAGGAUAAGGAUCCAGCAUUGGCACGGUUGUGGCUUGAGUUCAGUCUCUGACCCAGGAACUUCCACAUGCCAUGGGCUUGCCCCCUCCCCUCAAAAAAAGGCUAAAAUGUUAUAUUUUAUCACAAUUAAAAAACAGCUUUUUUUUUUUUUCCCCUGCACCCACAGUACAUGGAAGUUCCUGGGCCAGGGAAUGAACCCACACCUCAGCAAUGACGCAAGCUGCUGGAGAGACAAUGGCAGAUCCUUAACCAUAAUGGCCACACAGCAGGAACUCUAAAAAACAACUUUUUAUUGCUACCUUUAAUGUAAAAGCAGAUGAGGGGGGAGGGAUAAGGACUUGUAUUCUUAUUUGUUUGUGUAUGGGCACAGAAAUUCUGGAAAGAUACUCAGGAAAUCAGGAGCAGUGGGUUUCCUGUGGGGAAAAGGAGGGGAACUAAGACUUGGGAAAUACUGCAGUGUAAACUUUAUGCUUUUUGUUUGUGCAGCACAUGAAUGCAUCCACUAUUCAAAAAUAAAAUUAGUUAAGAAAUAUGGAGAAUGGCUUUAUUUAGGAUUAGUAAGAUUUGAGUUAAAAAGUAAAAAAAAAAAAAAAAAAAAAAAAAAG